GAAUCUUGCGCAAUGGGCGAAAGCCUGACGCAGCGACGCCGCGUGGGGGAAGAAGGCCUUCGGGUUGUAAACCUCUUUCAGCAGGGACGAAGCCACUCGGGUGAACAGCCCAGAGGGUGACGGUACCUGCAGAAGAAGCCCCGGCUAACUACGUGCCAGCAGCCGCGGUAAUACGUAGGGGGCAAGCGUUGUCCGGAUUUAUUGGGCGUAAAGAGCGUGUAGGCGGCCAGACAGGUCCGUUGUGAAAACUAGAGGCUCAACCUCUAGACGUCGAUGGAAACCGUCUGGCUAGAGUCCGGAAGAGGAGAGUGGAAUUCCUGGUGUAGCGGUGAAAUGCGCAGAUAUCAGGAAGAACACCCGUGGCUAAGGCGGCUCUCUAGUACGGUACUGACGCUGAGACGCGAAAGCGUGGGGAGCGAACAGGA
Molecule: ribosomal RNA, 425 nt
Filed under: uncultured bacterium
Lineage: Bacteria
Description: bacterial SSU rRNA
Rfam family: Bacterial small subunit ribosomal RNA
Source: RNAcentral